AUACGUAGGGUGCAAGCGUUAAUCGGAAUUACUGGGCGUAAAGCGUGAGAAGGCGGUUUUGUAAGGCAGAGGUGGAAUCCACGGGCUCAACCUGGGAACUGCCUUUCUGACUGCAAGGCUAGAGUAUGGCAGAGGGGGGUGGAAUUUCCAGUGUAGCAGGGAAAUGCGUAGAUAUGCGGAGGAACACCGAUGGCGAAGGCAAUCCCCUGGGCCUGUACUGACGCUCAUGCACGAAAGCGUGGGGAGCAAACAGGAUUAGAUACCCUGGUAGUCCACGCCCUAAACGAUGUCAACUGGUUGUUGGGUCUUCAUUGACUCAGUAACGAAGCUAACGCGUGAAGUUGACCGCCUGGGGAGUACGGCCGCAAGGUUGAAACUUAAAGGAAUUGACGGGG
Molecule: ribosomal RNA, 395 nt
Filed under: uncultured bacterium
Lineage: Bacteria
Description: partial 16S ribosomal RNA
Rfam family: Bacterial small subunit ribosomal RNA
Source: RNAcentral